This 1267-nucleotide ribosomal RNA is filed under the name Enterococcus faecium. Its description in RNAcentral is "bacterial SSU rRNA". It matches the Rfam family "Bacterial small subunit ribosomal RNA", at positions 8 to 1247 of the family's 1533-position model. The record is from RNAcentral. RNAcentral also lists the same sequence under 1 other name. Lineage: Bacteria; Bacillati; Bacillota; Bacilli; Lactobacillales; Enterococcaceae.
AGAGUUUGAUCCUGGCUCAGGACGAACGCUGGCGGCGUGCCUAAUACAUGCAAGUCGAACGCUUCUUUUUCCACCGGAGCUUGCUCCACCGGAAAAAGAAGAGUGGCGAACGGGUGAGUAACACGUGGGUAACCUGCCCAUCAGAAGGGGAUAACACUUGGAAACAGGUGCUAAUACCGUAUAACAAUCGAAACCGCAUGGUUUUGAUUUGAAAGGCGCUUUCGGGUGUCGCUGAUGGAUGGACCCGCGGUGCAUUAGCUAGUUGGUGAGGUAACGGCUCACCAAGGCCACGAUGCAUAGCCGACCUGAGAGGGUGAUCGGCCACAUUGGGACUGAGACACGGCCCAAACUCCUACGGGAGGCAGCAGUAGGGAAUCUUCGGCAAUGGACGAAAGUCUGACCGAGCAACGCCGCGUGAGUGAAGAAGGUUUUCGGAUCGUAAAACUCUGUUGUUAGAGAAGAACAAGGAUGAGAGUAACUGUUCAUCCCUUGACGGUAUCUAACCAGAAAGCCACGGCUAACUACGUGCCAGCAGCCGCGGUAAUACGUAGGUGGCAAGCGUUGUCCGGAUUUAUUGGGCGUAAAGCGAGCGCAGGCGGUUUCUUAAGUCUGAUGUGAAAGCCCCCGGCUCAACCGGGGAGGGUCAUUGGAAACUGGGAGACUUGAGUGCAGAAGAGGAGAGUGGAAUUCCAUGUGUAGCGGUGAAAUGCGUAGAUAUAUGGAGGAACACCAGUGGCGAAGGCGGCUCUCUGGUCUGUAACUGACGCUGAGGCUCGAAAGCGUGGGGAGCAAACAGGAUUAGAUACCCUGGUAGUCCACGCCGUAAACGAUGAGUGCUAAGUGUUGGAGGGUUUCCGCCCUUCAGUGCUGCAGCUAACGCAUUAAGCACUCCGCCUGGGGAGUACGACCGCAAGGUUGAAACUCAAAGGAAUUGACGGGGGCCCGCACAAGCGGUGGAGCAUGUGGUUUAAUUCGAAGCAACGCGAAGAACCUUACCAGGUCUUGACAUCCUUUGACCACUCUAGAGAUAGAGCUUCCCCUUCGGGGGCAAAGUGACAGGUGGUGCAUGGUUGUCGUCAGCUCGUGUCGUGAGAUGUUGGGUUAAGUCCCGCAACGAGCGCAACCCUUAUUGUUAGUUGCCAUCAUUCAGUUGGGCACUCUAGCAAGACUGCCGGUGACAAACCGGAGGAAGGUGGGGAUGACGUCAAAUCAUCAUGCCCCUUAUGACCUGGGCUACACACGUGCUACAAUGGGAAGUACAACGAGU